UACAGAGGUCUCAAGCGUUGUUCGGAUUCAUUGGGCGUAAAGGGUGCGUAGGCGGCGCGGUAAGUCGGGUGUGAAAUCUCGGAGCUUAACUCCGAAACUGCAUUCGAUACUGCCGUGCUUGAGGACUGGAGAGGAGACUGGAAUUUACGGUGUAGCGGUGAAAUGCGUAGAUAUCGAGAGGAACACCAGUGGCGAAGGCGAGUCCCUGGACAACGACUGACACUGAGGCACGAAAGCUAGGGGAGCAAACAGG
This 253-nucleotide ribosomal RNA is filed under the name uncultured bacterium. Its description in RNAcentral is "partial 16S ribosomal RNA". It matches the Rfam family "Bacterial small subunit ribosomal RNA", at positions 524 to 776 of the family's 1533-position model. The record is from RNAcentral.